GACGAACGCUGGCGGCGUGCUUAACACAUGCAAGUCGAACGAUGAAGCCUAGCUUGCUAGGUGGAUUAGUGGCGAACGGGUGAGUAAUACGUGAGUAACCUACCUUUAACUCUGGGAUAAGCCUGGGAAACUGGGUCUAAUACCGGAUACGACCAAUCUCCGCAUGGGGUGUUGGUGGAAAGCGUUAUGUAGUGGUUAUAGAUGGGCUCACGGCCUAUCAGCUUGUUGGUGAGGUAACGGCUCACCAAGGCGACGACGGGUAGCCGGCCUGAGAGGGUGACCGGCCACACUGGGACUGAGACACGGCCCAGACUCCUACGGGAGGCAGCAGUGGGGAAUAUUGCACAAUGGGCGCAAGCCUGAUGCAGCGACGCCGCGUGAGGGAUGACGGCCUUCGGGUUGUAAACCUCUGUUAGCAGGGAAGAAGAGAGAUUGACGGUACCUGCAGAGAAAGCGCCGGCUAACUACGUGCCAGCAGCCGCGGUAAUACGUAGGGCGCGAGCGUUGUCCGGAAUUAUUGGGCGUAAAGAGCUUGUAGGCGGUUUGUCGCGUCUGCUGUGAAAGGCCGGGGCUUAACCCCGUGUAUUGCAGUGGGUACGGGCAGACUAGAGUGCAGUAGGGGAGACUGGAAUUCCUGGUGUAGCGGUGGAAUGCGCAGAUAUCAGGAGGAACACCGAUGGCGAAGGCAGGUCUCUGGGCUGUAACUGACGCUGAGAAGCGAAAGCAUGGGGAGCGAACAGG
RNAcentral lists this ribosomal RNA (741 nucleotides) under Rothia mucilaginosa. Its description in RNAcentral is "bacterial SSU rRNA". It matches the Rfam family "Bacterial small subunit ribosomal RNA", at positions 28 to 776 of the family's 1533-position model. The record is from RNAcentral. Lineage: Bacteria; Bacillati; Actinomycetota; Actinomycetes; Micrococcales; Micrococcaceae.